AGGACAAACGCUGGCGGAAUGUAUUAGGCAUGCAAGUCGCACGAUCACUUCGGUGGUAGUGGCGGACGGGUGAGUAACACGUGGGUAACUUGCCUCGUAGUGGGGAAUAACUCGCCGAAAGGCGAGCUAAUACCGCAUAACACCCUCGGUGAGAAACCGAGCGGUAAAAGCUCCGGCGCUAUGAGAGAGGCCCGCGGCCGAUUAGCUAGUUGGUGGGGUAAUGGCCUACCAAGGCGACGAUCGGUAGC
RNAcentral lists this ribosomal RNA (248 nucleotides) under uncultured bacterium. RNAcentral describes it as "partial small subunit ribosomal RNA". It matches the Rfam family "Bacterial small subunit ribosomal RNA", at positions 26 to 287 of the family's 1533-position model. The record is from RNAcentral.